UUGAAAAUAUUUUCUUACAUGAUGGGAAAGAAGGGGAAAUUGGCAGUGCUGGUCACGAUGGUUUUGACUGUGACUAUUAUCAUUAUUAUCAUUGUUUUCUACCUUUACCAAUUCACUGUUAUUCAAAUUGUGUUGUGGGUACCAUCCCAUUGAGUUCUUGAUGGUCACAUGGGUAUUGAAGUGUGAAAAGUUUGUUGAUGGCUUUGUCUUCAUGCUAUAUCGAAGAAGGCAUCAAAGCUGCAUCAAUUGGCUGAGAUUGUUCUCAAUGGGGAACCAGUCAAGACUUGCUGCAAAGGACGGAUUCAUCUCAGGGUCGACGUUGCUGGCUGGACAGAAGUUGCGAAUUCUACCUUCAAAGGAUGAGCAAUGAGCAAAUCCCAAGAGCCACUAGGUCGUCCAAGGAUAAUCCCCUUUGGGAGAAGCUUUGUUGCAGCUGAGAAAUGUUGAACCUUGGAGAUGGCAAUUGUAUUGUUUCACUAGCCUUUGAUAUCCUUCCAUCCUUUCUCCCUUUGGGAACAUCCCAUGUUGGGCCUCCAGACUCUAGAGCCACAAUAUCAGCGCAAGAGACAACACCGGGGCAAUAGGAUUCCAGUUCUUUCUUUGCGUUGUCGAUCACGAAAAACGAGUGCAAAGAUAAAUUAGGAGGCCCAUCUUUCUCAGCUUUGUUGUUACCUACUGAAUUCAGCAGUACAGAUGCAUCACAGCCCUUCACCCAAGCAAACAAAACCAGUCAUGAAAGUGCAUCCGGAGGAGUCCCGCAGGGACAGUCUUGUCUUUGUAAGCUGCACUCCUGACAGCUUUAUUAACGAUGAAGUCAACACCUGGACAUGUCUUCUCGUAGUAGUCUAAGCU
Cucurbita pepo subsp. pepo (vegetable marrow) is the source of this 852-nucleotide non-coding RNA. NCBI's taxonomy places the organism in Eukaryota, Viridiplantae, Streptophyta, Magnoliopsida, Cucurbitales, Cucurbitaceae. The record is from RefSeq and is a predicted model, not a curated record.